UAGUCCAUUCAGCAUGCAGAUCCAUUUUCUGCCACCGAAUACAUUAGCAUGGGAUAAUGGAAUAGGACCCUGUCCUCCUAUUUUCAGUUGGUUUUGGCAGCGCGAGGACUAGGGUAAUGAUUAAUAGGGAUAGUUGGGGGCAUUAAUAUUUAAUUGUCAGAGGUGAAAUUCUUGGAUUUAUGAAAGAUUAACUUCUGCGAAAGCAUCUGCCAAGGAUGUUUUCAUUAAUCAAGAACGAAAGUUAGGGGAUCGAAGACGAUCAGAUACCGUCGUAGUCUUAACCAUAAACGAUGCCGACCAGCGAUUAGGAGACGUUGAAUACAAAACACCACCAUCGGUGCGGUCGUCCUUGGCGUCUCGGUUUCUGCCGGGGCGCGGGGGCGGGUUAGGCCGGUGGCACCGGUGAAUGACUCCCCUACCAGCUUGUGAUAAUGAGA
This 437-nucleotide ribosomal RNA is filed under the name Acanthamoeba sp. ROB3. RNAcentral describes it as "SSU rRNA". The stretch from base 1 to 365 matches the Rfam family "Eukaryotic small subunit ribosomal RNA", at positions 769 to 1115 of the family's 1831-position model. Lineage: Eukaryota; Discosea; Longamoebia; Acanthamoebidae. The record is from RNAcentral.